This 83-nucleotide transfer RNA is filed under the name Felis catus (domestic cat). It matches the Rfam family "tRNA". Rfam says of the family: Transfer RNA (tRNA) molecules are approximately 80 nucleotides in length. Their secondary structure includes four short double-helical elements and three loops (D, anti-codon, and T loops). Lineage: Eukaryota; Metazoa; Chordata; Mammalia; Carnivora; Felidae. The record is from Rfam by way of RNAcentral.
GCCUGGGUGGCUCAGUCGGUUGAGCGUCUGACUUCGGCUCAGGUCAUGAUCUCAGUUUCUGGGUUCGAGCCCCGUAUCAGGCU